This 500-nucleotide ribosomal RNA is filed under the name uncultured bacterium. RNAcentral describes it as "partial 16S ribosomal RNA". It matches the Rfam family "Bacterial small subunit ribosomal RNA", at positions 30 to 523 of the family's 1533-position model. The record is from RNAcentral.
AUUGAACGCUGGCGGCAGGCCUAACACAUGCAAGUCGAGCGGAUGACGGGAGCUUGCUCCUUGAUUCAGCGGCGGACGGGUGAGUAAUGCCUAGGAAUCUGCCUGGUAGUGGGGGACAACGUUUCGAAAGGAACGCUAAUACCGCAUACGUCCUACGGGAGAAAGCAGGGGAUCUUCGGGCCUUGCGCUAUCAGAUGAGCCUAGGUCGGAUUAGCUAGUUGGUGGGGUAAUGGCUCACCAAGGCGACGAUCCGUAACUGGUCUGAGAGGAUGAUCAGUCACACUGGAACUGAGACACGGUCCAGACUCCUACGGGAGGCAGCAGUGGGGAAUAUUGGACAAUGGGCGAAAGCCUGAUCCAGCCAUGCCGCGUGUGUGAAGAAGGUCUUCGGAUUGUAAGGCACUUUAAGUUGGGAGGAAGGGCAGUAAGUUAAUACCUUGCUGUUUUGACGUUACCGACAGAAUAAGCACCGGCUAACUCUGUGCCAGCCGCCGCCGUAA